RNAcentral lists this ribosomal RNA (253 nucleotides) under uncultured bacterium. Its description in RNAcentral is "partial 16S ribosomal RNA". It matches the Rfam family "Bacterial small subunit ribosomal RNA", at positions 524 to 776 of the family's 1533-position model. The record is from RNAcentral.
UACAGAGGUCCCAAGCGUUGUUCGGAUUUACUGGGCGUAAAGGGUGCGUAGGCGGUCGGGUAAGCCUGAUGUGAAAUCUCAGAGCUCAACUCUGAAACUGCAUUGGAUACUAUUCGGCUUGAGGUCUGGAGGGGGGACUGGAAUUCUCGGUGUAGCAGUGAAAUGCGUAGAUAUCGAGAGGAACACCAGUGGCGAAGGCGAGUCCCUGGACAGAUCCUGACGCUGAGGCACGAAAGCUAGGGGAGCAAACAGG